CACGCCCUAAACGAUGUCAACUAGGUGUUGGGAGGGUAAAACCUUUUAGUACCGGAGCUAACGCGUGAAGUUGACCGCCUGGGGAGUACGGCCGCAAGGUUAAAACUCAAAGGAAUUGACGGGGACCCGCACAAGCGGUGGAUGAUGUGGAUUAAUUCGAUGCAACGCGAAAAACCUUACCUACCCUUGACAUGCCAAGAACUUGCCAGAGAUGGCUUGGUGCCCGAAAGGGAACUUGGACACAGGUGC
RNAcentral lists this ribosomal RNA (249 nucleotides) under uncultured bacterium. RNAcentral describes it as "partial 16S ribosomal RNA". It matches the Rfam family "Bacterial small subunit ribosomal RNA", at positions 796 to 1041 of the family's 1533-position model. The record is from RNAcentral.